AUGGGUGCCCAGCUCCUGGGCCAUGUGAUGUUUUUCCUCCUGGGAGCAGGCCACGGAGCAGCAGGAGUGACCGAGUCCCCCAGACACCGCAUCAUGUUGCCUGGGAGGGAGCUAGAGCUAGAGUUGGAGUGUUUUCAGAGCACAAGCCACGACGCCAUGUACUGGUAUCGGCAAGACCCGGGCCUGGGCCUGAAGCUGAUCUACUACUCCAUUAAUGUUGGCUUAACUGAGAAGGGAGAUGGUUCUGAGGGAUACGAGGUCUCCCGAAAAUACAAGAAGCGUUUCCCCCGACCCUGA
Talpa occidentalis (Iberian mole) is the source of this 297-nucleotide non-coding RNA. NCBI's taxonomy places the organism in Eukaryota, Metazoa, Chordata, Mammalia, Eulipotyphla, Talpidae. The record is from the annotation of a RefSeq genome assembly.